GGGCCCGCACAAGCGGUGGAGCAUGUGGUUUAAUUCGACGCAACGCGCAGAACCUUACCAGGGUUUGACAUCCCGUGCCACGCUCAGAGAUGGGCGGUCCCCGCAAGGGGCGCGGAGACAGGUGCUGCAUGGCUGUCGUCAGCUCGUGUCGUGAGAUGUUGGGUUAAGUCCCGCAACGAGCGCAACCCUCUCCUUUAGUUGCCAUCAUUCAGUUGGGCACUCUAAAGGGACCGCCGGCGACAAGCCGGAGGAAGGUGGGGAUGACGUCAAGUCCUCAUGGCCCUUACACCCUGGGCUACACACGUGCUACAAUGGCGGUGACAAUGGGCAGCGACCACGCGAGUGGAUGCGAAUCCCAAAAAACCGUCCCAGUUCAGAUUGCACUCUGCAACUCGAGUGCAUGAAGGCGGAAUCGCUAGUAAUCGCAGAACAGCAGGCUGCGGUGAAUACGUUCCCGGGCCUU
This 463-nucleotide ribosomal RNA is filed under the name uncultured bacterium. RNAcentral's name for it is "bacterial SSU rRNA". It matches the Rfam family "Bacterial small subunit ribosomal RNA", at positions 917 to 1382 of the family's 1533-position model. The record is from RNAcentral.